CAGGACGAACGCUGGCGGCGUGCCUAACACAUGCAAGUCGAACGGAGUCAAAAAGCUUGCUUUUGACUUAGUGGCGGACGGGUGAGUAACGCGUGAGUAACCUGCCUCUGAGAGGGGAAUAACGUUCUGAAAAGAACGCUAAUACCGCAUAACGUAUCGAAGCCGCAUGACUUUGAUACCAAAGAUUUUAUCGCUCGGAGAUGGACUCGCGUCCGAUUAGUUAGUUGGUGAGGUAACGGCUCACCAAGACCGCGAUCGGUAGCCGGACUGAGAGGUUGAUCGGCCACAUUGGGACUGAGACACGGCCCAGACUCCUACGGGAGGCAGCAGUGGGGGAUAUUGCGCAAUGGGGGCAACCCUGACGCCAGCAACGCCGCGUGAAGGAUGAAGGUUUUCGGAUUGUAAACUUCUUUUAUCAGGGACGAAGCUUGACGGUACCUGAUGAAUAAGCUCCGGCUAACUACGUGCCAGCAGCAGC
RNAcentral lists this ribosomal RNA (478 nucleotides) under uncultured bacterium. RNAcentral's name for it is "bacterial SSU rRNA". It matches the Rfam family "Bacterial small subunit ribosomal RNA", at positions 25 to 518 of the family's 1533-position model. The record is from RNAcentral.